RNAcentral lists this transfer RNA (77 nucleotides) under Oscillospiraceae bacterium. Its description in RNAcentral is "tRNA-Met". It matches the Rfam family "tRNA". From Rfam's summary of the family: Transfer RNA (tRNA) molecules are approximately 80 nucleotides in length. The record is from RNAcentral. RNAcentral also lists the same sequence under 1 other name. Lineage: Bacteria; Bacillati; Bacillota; Clostridia; Eubacteriales; Oscillospiraceae.
CGCGGAGUGGAGCAGUCUGGUAGCUCGUUGGGCUCAUAACCCAAAGGUCGUAGGUUCAAAUCCUGCCUCCGCAACCA